This 424-nucleotide ribosomal RNA is filed under the name uncultured bacterium. RNAcentral describes it as "partial 16S ribosomal RNA". It matches the Rfam family "Bacterial small subunit ribosomal RNA", at positions 360 to 776 of the family's 1533-position model. The record is from RNAcentral.
AAUUUUUGACAAUGGGCGCAAGCCUGAUCCAGCCAUGCCGCGUGAGUGAAGAAGGNCUNNGGGUUNUNAAGCUCUUUCGGACGNNNNNAAAUCGCGCAGUCUAAUACCCUGCGACGAUGACGGUACCGUCCUAAGAAGCACCCGCUAACUACUGUCCAUGCGCCGCGGUAAUAAGUAGGGUGCGAGCGGUAAUAGGAAUUACUGGGGGUAUAGAGUGCGCAGGCGGUGGAUUAAGACAGGCGUGAAAUCCCCGGGCUUAACCUGGGAACUGCGCUUGUGACUGGUAAGAUAGAGUACAGCAGAGGGGGGUGGAAUUCCACGUGUAGCAGUGAAAUGAGUAGAGAUGUGGAGGAACACCGAUGGCGAAGGCAGCCCCCUGGGCCGAUACUGACGCUCAUGCACGAAAGCGUGGGUAGCAAACAGG